AUUGAACGCUGGCGGCAUGCUUUACACAUGCAAGUCGGACGGCAGCGGGGUAGUGCUUGCACUACUGCCGGCGAGUGGCGAACGGGUGAGUAAUAUAUUGGAACGUACCGAGUAAUGGGGGAUAACCAAUCGAAAGAUUGGCUAAUACCGCAUACGCUCUGAGGAGGAAAGCAGGGGACCUUCGGGCCUUGCGUUAUUCGAGCGGCCAAUAUCUGAUUAGCUAGUUGGUGGGGUAAGGGCCUACCAAGGCGACGAUCAGUAGCGGGUCUGAGAGGAUGAUCCGCCACCUGGGGACGGGAACACGGCCCCUACUCCUACGGGAGGCAGCAGUCGGGAAUUUUAGACAAUGGGGGCAAGCCUUGUCCAACCAUGCGGCGUGUCUGAAGAAGGCCUUCGGGUUGUAAAGGACUUUUGUUAGGGAAAAAAAGGGUGCGGUUAAUACCCGUUUCUGCUGACGGUACCUAAAGAAUAAGCACCGGCUAACUACGUG
RNAcentral lists this ribosomal RNA (490 nucleotides) under uncultured bacterium. RNAcentral's name for it is "partial 16S ribosomal RNA". It matches the Rfam family "Bacterial small subunit ribosomal RNA", at positions 30 to 507 of the family's 1533-position model. The record is from RNAcentral.